This is a long non-coding RNA of Papaver somniferum (opium poppy), 2503 nucleotides long. RefSeq lists it as uncharacterized. The record is from RefSeq and is a predicted model, not a curated record. Lineage: Eukaryota; Viridiplantae; Streptophyta; Magnoliopsida; Ranunculales; Papaveraceae. The transcript has 3 exons.
UACACAUUAUGAUUCCUCCAUUAUUAUCCCCUUCUUCCGUACACAUUAUCAAAACGAAAUUAGGGCAGAGAUCUCCUGUGAUUGUCGACAUUGAAGACCGUUAAUCACUCAUACGUUAAAAAUGUUCCUCUAUAUAAACACCAACAUAGGUCAUCAUCUUACCAUGUUUCAGACGCAUUCUCUCUCAACACUGCUAGGUUUCAACUGUUGUUUUCGGAAAAGAGGUGCCAUCCAUCUUAGGGAUCAUUUGUUGGGCUUUCUCAACUGUUGCUGCAGUGGAAGGUGUAAAAAAGAUCAUUACUAGAGAUCUGAGUGCACUGUGUAAACAAGAGUUUGUGGACUGUGAUACAUCUUACAUCCAAAGAUGUGAUGGAGGUCUUACGGAAUAUGGGUUCCAGUGCAUCAUUAAGAAUGGUAAAAUCGAAACCGAAGAAGAUUACCUGGACAAGGCUAAAGAACCGAAGAAGAUUACCCGGACAAGGCUAAAGACGGAAAAUGUGAUAUGAACACCCAAGGUUAGUAUUGUGUAUAAAUUAGUAUACUAAAUGAGAACUAUGUAUAAGUUACUAUCAUGAAUUUUAAUAUGUUGUUUUGCAUAACACAAAUGUAUGUCGAUCAAGAAUUUGCAGAGGUACGCAACUGUUAUCACUACUUGAAAAAAAGGGACUAGGAUGUCUGUUUGGAAACGAUACUCUUAGCUUAGAUAGAUGAGAUUGUGAGGUCAUCGGACUGCAGUUUGUGGAAGAGUACAUCUUUCGCUCCAAUAUAUUUUUAUUUCUGCCCAACAGUAAAUAUUUGCUGACUAACCAAAUUGGAUCACCUAACUUAUUGCGAAAUGGAUUGGACUAUUCUUUUAGAUAACCGGGAGCAUUAUCCUGUUAAUGAAAUCGUUAGUUUAUCUAUAGUAUAUAUUCGAAUCAUAGGCUGCUAUGAUUUGUCUGACAAUUUUGAGGUGUCUUGGGUUUCUUGACACUUAAUCUUAACACUAAAUUGUUCGUUGGCAUCUUCCAUCUCUGUUAGGGCUUAUACAUUCGUUUAAUAUGUAUGUUUGUAUAACAAUGGGUUUGAUGGAUGUACUAUAGGGUUCAGUGAUAAUAAUAGUCAAUUGUUAUAAUGGUAGUAUAAUGGCUAAUUUGUGUUAUAUAUAUUCAUGUAUUUUGACCAUAUGUCGAAAUAUCUAAUUUUGAGUUUUAAGUUUUCAUUAGUGGCCUUUGAGUACAACAACAUUUCCAUAUAAUUUUAUAGAUUAGUCUCUGUUUGUUAUGGAUUAGUCUCUGUUUGGACAAAACUGAAAAUGCUUUGCUUACUUAACAUUUGAAUUUGUCAAUAUUAUUCUCUCAUGAUCUCUUAAAUACCACGAGAGACAAAUUUAUUAUAUCCAGUGCUGCUAUCGGCUUGAAAAUGAUCAACAUGUCUUAUCGUGUGGUGGUUUAUACUUUAUAAUUUGGGUUCUAUCUGUCAUCAAUCUGUUUUUGGAUUUUAUGGAUCACAUGUUUUUGAUUUAUCUCUCUCAAACAGAGUUAAACAUGAAUCUUAUCCUAAUUUAUGUGGUGUCAUGAUGAAUUCUUGGUAUAACUGACUUAUCAUGCACAAAAUCAAUCUCAAGCUAAUUAAUAACUCAUGUUUUCUAAUGACCAAUGUGACCAACUCUUUUCUAAUGAAUUUUUAGUGAUGUAUAUGGUUCGUGUUAUCUGUGCAUUCAUGCGAUGGAGUAGUGUUUUCACCCAUCGCUCUUUGUAUAACAAGAUUGAGAGAAGACUUCACAGAUGCCUAUCGGCUUAACGUCUUUUUUGGGCCAUCCUAGGAAGAAGAACUGUGGUAAGAUUCAUGUUGUCCUCCCAUUUAAUUAUUAACUAAACGUAGUCAAACUUAUAGAGAUAGUAUCGCUAUUUAUUUUUUGGGUCUGUGUCAAUUGACUUAUAAACAGAGAAAUAAGAAACCAAAGGUUCAAGCAGUAGACACAAUAGGAAUUGUGGUUGUCAAUAGUAGUGACGUUGAUUCAAGGUAGUUUCAUCGCAGUUGCCGUUUUAUUUCUGUGCCGAGGAAUGCUUUAAUACAAUAUGGAGGGUAAAAGUGUUUCUUUUUUGAUAUUAUUGUAGAAUUUAGAAUUUUCAGGGCUCACAUUACCACCUGUAAAAAUUAUUCCAUUUCUCAGUCUAUAAAGCCUGAGAUGAUUUUGUAAACAAACUUUUUAAAAGGUAAAUGUUACAAAGAUGAGGGUUUCAUGCAUUCAGCAACGCUAGAAGGCAAUAUACGAAGGGGCUGUGGAUACUCCAUAUACAAUCAUGACGAAGCAAUUGUAGUUUCAGACAGAUUAAACAGUGCAUUGAUAGCUAACCUUCAAACAUGGAAUGAAUCGCAUGGAAUGGAACUUCGAUAUAAAUUUUUGCACUUUCUGUUAACGGAUGUUUUGUAAUAUAUGUGCACUUAGUGCUGCUACUGACAUUGUUUCACUAACUUUUUAUAGUUGAGGUAUGUAAUGAAAAAAUGGAGCAUUUGUCAA